GGGGAUAGCUCAGCUGGGAGAGCGCUUGAAUGGCAUUCAAGAGGUCAGCGGUUCGAUCCCGCUUAUCUCCACCA
RNAcentral lists this transfer RNA (74 nucleotides) under Oscillospiraceae bacterium. Its description in RNAcentral is "tRNA-Ala". It matches the Rfam family "tRNA". From Rfam's summary of the family: Transfer RNA (tRNA) molecules are approximately 80 nucleotides in length. Their secondary structure includes four short double-helical elements and three loops (D, anti-codon, and T loops). Lineage: Bacteria; Bacillati; Bacillota; Clostridia; Eubacteriales; Oscillospiraceae. The record is from RNAcentral.